Molecule: transfer RNA, 78 nt
Filed under: Pseudomonadota bacterium
Lineage: Bacteria; Pseudomonadati; Pseudomonadota
Also listed under: 1 other name
Description: Proteobacteria bacterium tRNA-Asp
Rfam family: tRNA
About the family: Transfer RNA (tRNA) molecules are approximately 80 nucleotides in length. Their secondary structure includes four short double-helical elements and three loops (D, anti-codon, and T loops). Further hydrogen bonds mediate the characteristic L-shaped molecular structure. tRNAs have two regions of fundamental functional importance: the anti-codon, which is responsible for specific mRNA codon recognition, and the 3' end, to which the tRNAs corresponding amino acid is attached (by aminoacyl-tRNA synthetases). tRNAs cope with the degeneracy of the genetic code in two manners: having more than one tRNA (with a specific anti-codon) for a particular amino acid; and 'wobble' base-pairing, i.e. permitting non-standard base-pairing at the 3rd anti-codon position.
Source: RNAcentral
GGGGCGGUAGUUCAAUCUGGUUAGAGCACCGGCCUGUCACGCCGGAAGUUGCGGGUUCGAGUCCCGUCCGCCCCGCCA